Molecule: long non-coding RNA, 3951 nt
Organism: Brassica napus (rape)
Lineage: Eukaryota; Viridiplantae; Streptophyta; Magnoliopsida; Brassicales; Brassicaceae
Exons: 2
Source: RefSeq, a predicted model, not a curated record
UGUAGAGGAUAACUCUGCAUAACGUGAUCAAGUAACCUAACAUUCCAAUCACUUAGACCAUGAUUCUUGAAAAUUAGAAACAAAACUACCAUUGCAACUGCACUGGGUUUAAAAUAGCGCUUCAACCCUUGAGGCGAUGGGAAGGUCAAGCUCGCCUCCAAGCUAUAGCCUCACUUCGUAACGCCUCACCAACUUAAGGUGUAGUCUGAACCUACACGUAAGAUUAGGGGUUAGGACAUAUAAAUCAUUCAGAUUCUUCUAUUCUUUGUAAUUAUCCUAGACCAUUAAAAUUAAAAAUAAAUAGUUCUCCAUAAAAUAAAACUUAAAAGAAAAUUAAUCCCAACAAAAUGUUCAAAAAGCAGAGAAUCAAACCAACAAAGUCUUAAAACAUAAAAUCAAACCAACAUAAACUUUUUUUAAAAAAGUGUAAAAUAAGUUUUGAUUGGAAACUUACCGUUAGUCACAGUGAAGCGUGAGGCUUCCAAAGCGGCUCGAGUCAAGGUUGAAGCGACGCUUUCUUGAAUUCGUCUUGCUUCAGGACUCCGAGGUGGCGACCCCCAAACAAAGGUCGCCUCACGCUAAGGCGCACGCUUUUUAAACCCGUAACUGCACAUGUCAAAGAGAAAUUCAAAAUUCACUUAUAUCUUAUAAGAGGUGACCAUGCUCCCAAUGGCUUUAGAUGAUAGAAAUGAACUUAAGUAUGGCAAAUUUUCUCAUAGAAAAAAAUUCAGUUGUAAUGCCAACAACGUUUUUCUCCACGAUAAGGGUAGCAUGAAGAAGGAAUACAACAACUAUAGGAGCCAUGUAAAGGAAGAGAUUCAUAGAGUUUAGCUUCUUCCCUCAAACAAAUUCACUAAAAAUAAUUUCAGUGGCACUCUUAACAGAUACAGACUUCAGAAAGAUAGAAUUGUAUCCAAUAAGCUGCAAAAAAUUGCUGUGAUUUCUUACCCUUCUGAAGAUAGCCAAUUUCAUUGAAGAACUGACUUAAGCGCUCUUGUAGUUGUGACUGCAACACAUAAUGAAUCCAAAUAGGUGGAAACUUGGUUAUCCCUGAUGGGCACAUAAAAAGCGAUAAGAAUUUCAGUCAAUGCAUAAAAACGAAGCUCUGAACGAAAUAAAAUAGUUCCAAGUGUAUAAGCAUACUCGGCACACAUACACGUAAAUUCCUUUUCUAGGUAACUAUUGCACAACAAACAAUAUGCAUAUUUGUGAAGUGACUGAAGUAAAGUAAGUAACUUUACAGAACUCAGCAGCUUCGAGCUGAGAGCAAUCCCAAAGGUUUUCUAAGAUGAAAUGUAAGUAUGAUCUAUACACAUGACUUGAAAUCUAUCAGGCUCAGCUUGUUAUCUUCUUUCUAUUCCUAAACCACAUCAAACUUGGUUUUAUGCCUCUACUUAAACCAUGUCCUUAAAGCUUGUCACUUCAGCCAUAAAACAACACUAUGUACCUUGAUUUAAACAUGUAGCUUGAAUCCCAUCAAGAACAGAAACACCUCAAAUAAUCUAUCUUUAAUUCACCUACUUUUGCGAAAUAUGAAUUUCUGUAAUUCCUGCCUGAGAAACAUAUAAGGAAACAAUAUUAGAAAAUGAAUCAUAAAUGAACAAAAAUGAGAUUUUCUUAUGAAGGAUGGAAGCUUUUCUUUGAGACUUACAAAUCUUCGACGUAUUUAGAAGCGGUCAUGAUUUUGGUGAUGUGCGUGGGCAAGACUGAUUCUAAGACCAUGAUUGAUUUCUGUAAACCGAAAGACCAUCUUUUAAUUGGCUGGUCAUAUCAGGAUUUGACGGCUAAGAACGAUCUAGGGUUUGGCAACGUUGGGUGGAAGAAGACGACGCCGGUGAAGUCUCUGUUUACUUUGCUAUAAAUGUGGUAAAUGGUUUUUGGUUAAUCAAAUACUUAUCAAUUAUUAACUGGCAUUAGAUCGUAAUUAUUUAGAAAAAAUCAGGGUUAUUCUUAUUUAUACUUCUGUUUUAUCAUACUUUCUUAAAGAUAUUCUCUUAAUUGGUGACUGGUCUUCAUGAUCCCAAUAUAUUGCAAUUUGUAAAGAGUCAGGUCAAAGAGAAACAGUACAAGAAAAAGUGGUAUUGAUACAUAUUAUAUUAUGAUAGCGUUGUUUUACGAACUGCUAUUAAAAAUCAAACAAAAAUUAAAGUUUAUAUUAAUAGCAGUUUAUUAAUGCUACCGUGUAAAAUUAGUGAGCAGAAACAGAAAAUCACUGCCAAUAUUUAGGUGAAUGUUAGCCACGCGUUAAGACAUAUGUUUUUCUUUUUUUUUCAAUAGCACAUUACGAUAGCAUUAUUUUAAAAACUGUUAUGAAAAAUCAAUUUCUAAUCUUUGAAAUCUUAACCCUAAACAUGUUUUAAACCCUAAACUCUAAAAGUAAACCUUGAAACUCUUAUCACCCUAAACUCUAAAAGUAAACCUUAAAACUCUUAUCUUUUGAUACCAUAACCCGAAAUUAUAAACUUACACUCAAAACUAUUCCUUUUAAUCUUAGUCUUUAACUUCCAAAACACAAACCUUAAAUCUUUAGUCAAACUCUAUACCCUAAGCUCUAUACAUAAACCCUAUACAUAAACCUUAUAAUCCAAAUUAUAAAUAUAAACACUAACAUAUUGUAUUCAACACCCCCAUACUGUUCAUAUUUUAGUUCCAAAUUUUAAAAAAGUUCAAAAUUUAGUUAUUUUCAAAUUUUAAUCUCAAAAUCUUAAAACCAACCCUUAACAUCACACUUCAAACCCUAAAACCUACAUCCAAAUCAUAAUCUAAAUAUUAAUCUAAUAUUUUAAAACUUAAACAUCAAACCUUAAUAUAAACUUUCAAAACAAAAAUUAAAACUCAAAUCUUACGCUAACUCCAAACACCAUAUAUUAAAAUUCACAAAUUAAACUUCAAAUCCAAUAUUCUCUACUUAAAUCUAAAAAUCUUAAAAAUAGCUCUACACUCAAAAUUUUAAAAUAAUACAAAUCUUAAUCCCAACCCCAAAUUUUUUUACUCAAAAUACUCUUAACAUAAAUAUUAAUCUUAAAACUUUAUUCAAUGAUCUAAUCACUUUAUAUUUAUUCACAAUUUAUUCAACUUUAAAUGUAACUGCAAGUAUAUUUCCUAAUUUUAAUCCUAAUUUUUUAUAAAUUAUAAACUACAAAAAUACAAAUUUUGAAUAAAACAUAACUUAGAAAAAUUACAAGCAAAAAAUUACCAAAUAAAGAAAGACAAAACAAAAGAAAAUAAAAAAGAAAGAUAAAGUUAUUUUGUCAAACCAGAACCAUAUACAAGGAUCACCGUCUCAGCUGUUGGAUUACAUUAAAUCAACGGUUGAGAUUAAUCUUUUUCUUUAUUCUUUUCUUUUUCUCUCUGGCUCCCUCUCUCUCUCUCUCUCUCUCUCUCUCUCUCUCUCGAGAUUCAUUCUCUCAUCUUCUUUCACACUCUCAUCUCUUCCAUCUCUAUACACUUGAAAUCUCACAAACUCUCUCAUGUCUCACUUUUCAGAUCUGGUCAACUGAGAAAGGAUGGAGAUGCUAAUGUAGACGACGAAGACAGAGACUCGCUGGGACGAAGCGCCGAGGCUCACCGGAGAAGAAGACGCGCCAGAGUAGAUGAGGCAGAGAAGAUGAUGUUUGGUGGUGGUGCAUAGGUCCGAGGAAGAGGUAGAAGAAGAAGAGGGGAAGGCAAUGAGUUUGGUCGCUUUGGCGGUAGAUCUCGAAGAAGAUGGAUGAGAUGGAGCUUCAGGGAGACGACCACGAUGGCGGCGUGGAGAAGGUCCAAGCUCCGGUGUGCUGGAGCUCUCGUGAUGUACUCUCGGUGGAGGGAAGCGGCGGCAGUGACAUUAGUUAGGUUUAGGGUUAGGUUAUAUUUUUUAAUUAAAUUUUAUUGUUAACUAGAUUUGGUUUAGUUUUGUAAAUCUGUUUAAUUGUAAACCGAUUAAAUUUAUAAAACAGAUUUCUAUUUGGUUAA